RNAcentral lists this long non-coding RNA (3648 nucleotides) under Cricetulus griseus (Chinese hamster). Its description in RNAcentral is "lncRNA (ENSCGRG00015040731.1)". The record is from RNAcentral. Lineage: Eukaryota; Metazoa; Chordata; Mammalia; Rodentia; Cricetidae.
GUUUAAAAUUACUUUUUUUUUUAAGUUUUAAGAAUGUAGUAUUUUCUGAGGACUGAUAUGGUACAAAAAUGUAACCAAAAUUUUCAGAUACUACAUUUUUAAAAAGGAAGGAUGGGGAAGAUAUAUAUCGGCAUGAAUGACCCUGACGUAGAGAAUACAGUCUUUAAUUGAACCUUGGCAAAAUAUAUAAUUAGAUUAUAUUAUUAGUUCCUUGUUUCUGAUAAGGACAAAUGUUAACUGUCAUUUAACUGUCUUGAAGAAGAAUGAAAAGUGAUGCAUUUGGGCUUUUUAGAUCAUUUGUAACGAAAUUUGUACAGAAACCCUCCAGUGAAACUAAGUGAACCAUUUUCCAGAUCUUGACUGGAUUGCUGUGAUUUUACAGUGGAAAAAUAAUUUCAAAUUUCUUAGGUUUUUUUUGUACAUUUAUUUUUUUCUAACAAAUAUAUUGGACUAUAUAAUUAAAGUUAAGUAGUGAAAUCUUCAUAAUGCAGAAAUGGAUGAUGUGUUAUUUAGAAAAAAAUGAGUCAAUUUCACCAUUAUUGAAAAUGAUAGUGUGUAUGUUGGAAAUUUAAGUCAUUAAUUAGUUGCUUUUGAAGGGAAUCUAUUUGAAAAAUGUAAUUUCCUGAUGUUAUCUGCAUUGUAUUAGAAAAAUAGACUAAAGUCCAUUUUUAUAAAGAAAAAAGUAGUUGUAAGGUGUGUUCAGUAAAAAGAAGCGCACACAGUCUUAGUGUGGAGGACCUCUGGAGUGGUGCACAGAUAGUUCCAACUUCUGAGCAGUGAAAUAAGUAUUUCCAUAUUUCCUGUAAAAGGAAAUACAUUAUUUCUAUUUUAAAGACACUGUAUAUUUAUGACCAUGUUUGGACAUUUUCUCAGACACUGGUUUCUUAGUAAAGCAAAAAGACUUGGAUCAGAUUAUUUGUAACUGAAACACUUAAGAUAUAUUAAUACCAGAUACAGAUUUUAUAUUUUUAUAAUUUAGUUUCUGUAGUUUGCAAAAAAUUGAAUUAAGAAAUUUAAGUCAUCAUGUUUUGGGUUUUACCACUUGGAAAAGUCUCCUCUUUGAAGGCAGUAACAUCAUGUAUGUACUGUUUAUAGACCAGAAGGAAUUGUUGGCACUUGUCUUAGGUAAGCAAUAAGAAAAAUAUCAAGUUUACUAAACCUUUCAGAAAUAAAUUUUUUUAUGUGCAUGGAAUAUAAAAAUCAGUUUUCAGGCUGAAAAAUCUAGUGGUGCAUGCUUGUAAUCCCAGCCUUUGGGAGGUGGAGGCAUGAACAUCAGAGUUCAAAGUUACCUUUAGCUGCAAACCAACUUCAAGACUAGGGCUACAAUAGCAGCACCACCCCCAAAAUCAGUUUAUAUUAUUUCUCUAAUAUUUAACCAUAUUGUUCUUUUAUGCUAUCCUGACUUCACAAAACCUGUGUUUAGUAUGUUGUCAUAGGGUAGGAUUUUUUUGGUUUGGUUUGGUUUGGUUUUGGUUUUUCGAGACAGGGUUUCUCUGUGUAGCUUUGGAGCCUAUCCUGGCACUCGCUCUGCAGACCAGGCUGGCCUCGAACUCACAGAGAUCCAUCUGCCUCUACCUCCGAGUGCUGGGAUUAAAGGCAUGCACCACCAACGCCCGGCGUCAUAGGGUAGUUUAAAGACUCCAUCUAAUUACAGUCUACCAGCCUUUGGAAGUAGAUAUGUAGGUUCUUAAAAUUUCACCUUUCACAGCUUUGUUUGGAGCAGUCCGUCUUCCUACAUACAAGUGUAACCUGAAGAGUAAGGGUCUUACUGUCAUUGUAUUUAUUGCAUUGCCUCGCCUCACUGCAGCUCUAAAGACUUGUGGGUUUCUACGGUGUCUUAUUACAUUUAGGAUAACUGUGGAGCAUUUGUUGUGUGAUUAGGCCACAUCAGGCAGAGAUAAGUGAUUGACUGGAUUCAGUUUAACUUGGAUAUUAAUUAUGUAAGAUCGUGGACAGCAAACAUUCCCUUACACAGAAUUGUUAACAGAACCUUCUCUUAGCUGCAGCAUUGUAGAUUAACCAGAUACCUUCACAAGUGUACUGAAAUAAAAUUUUGGUCAUUGUGUGAUGUUAGCACAUUUGCAUGAUUAAUCUCAGUUGUCAGUGUUUAAUUUCGACAUUCCAUUUUAUACAUCCGUAGGUAUCUAUAAAUUUGUCUUAAAUGUUAAGUUGAAAGGAACUGGUUUUAAGCUUUCUAUCUAAAGAAAACAAACUGAUUUUUAAUAUUUUGUUCACCUGAAAUUUAUUUUUGCAUAGGUUGAAAGGACCAAGGUACUUGAGUAAUGAUUAAAGGGCUAUUAUCAGUGUUCAUCCUAUACACAGGAAAUAUAGUAUUUUAAAAGUGAGAACCUGGUUGGGGGAUUACUUUUGCCUAAAAUACAUUAGUCCCAAUUUAUCUCGACAAUCUUGCUGACAAUAGUAGCUUGAUUCAGUGAUAAAUUGUCUUACAUUAAAAUUGGGGAAAGUACACCUUUUGUUUCAAUCAAAAAAAAAAAAUCAGACUUUCCCCAGUUCCCCUGAUUUCUAGAUGACUUGAACUAAAAUUAAUGCAUUUACUAAGAAACUGUUUUGCUUUUAAUUACUUAUCCAAGUGCUCCAAAUGAAAUGUCAUUUUGAACUAUGUACAGUACCCCAGGAAGAGGUCAGAUGAGUCACAAGACUGUAAGUACCACUGUGAGCGCUCUGGAGGUGAACCUGCACACAUUACAGUGAGUAGACUAUCCCAGCUAUAAAUAGAUUUUUUUUAGUUUUAAUAGCUCUGUUUUGAAGUACUUUUUUAAUGCAGAUAAAAAUAUCAGGAAAUUAACCUUAUAUGGCACAAACCAAAUACAUAGUAGUAUAUGGAUGAGUUUCUACAUUUAAAGAGCUAAGAAAAUAGGUUCAGGAUUGUAUUAUAGUACAUGCACUUACAAGGCAAAUGCACACACAAACUGAUUACUUUCAAGGAUGUGGGUGUUGAUUUAUCACAACAAUAAAUUAAAAAAUAAGAUACAAUGUUACAUUUUUAGACCAUAUUGAAACUGCAAGAAGAGACAGGUCUUAAAACGUUAUUAAGAAAACUGCUAAAUCCCGCCACGGGAUGUUUAGACAUGUGUAGAACAUAGCUCAGUUUUUAAAAGGCAACUGACCUAAAGGGUUAAAGUUGUAACUGACACAUUUCAAAUUAAAAUUAUGUUUAUUUUGUACAGAAAGCAAUGUUAAACACAAGCAAAUCUGUUGUAUGUAAUAAGUGACAGAGUUUUUUAAAAAUUAUUUAGCUUUAUUGAUGUUUUGUUUUAUUUCUUCUAGACCUGGAGUAUCAUGUCAUAAACGGCAGUCUUGCACCGAGGUAGCAGGCCCUUUCUUUUUGUACAUAUUGAUUGGACCUUUCUUUACUGUUAAGUGGACACUUUCUAUGUUAGUUUUGAUGCAUAAUUCUUGGAAUCCUUUUAUACAAACUAGAAUGUAUGUGUAAGAAUUCCUGUCCCUGCAAUGUAGUAACUAUAAACUUAUUUUUAAAUAAAUAGAAAACUUGUUUUUCUAAGCCAUUUUGUAUAGCCUCAUGAUUUCUUUGCUUUUUUGUUUGUUUUGGUUAGUUUUGGACAACAAAAAGCAAUUGGUACAUACUCAGUAGGCAACUUACCAAAGCGAUUGUGAUAUAGAAGCCAU